Molecule: long non-coding RNA, 3515 nt
Filed under: Zostera marina
Lineage: Eukaryota; Viridiplantae; Streptophyta; Magnoliopsida; Alismatales; Zosteraceae
Description: long non-coding RNA (ZMAR_LNC005688)
Source: RNAcentral
GGUAAUAAUAGAUGAAAUAUGAACGGUUGUGAUUUAUAUCUGACACCACAUCUAAUAGUCAAUAGAUAUAAUAGAAGUGGUUGAUAUUUUUUGGAUAUUUUAUAAUUUCCACCUCGAGGAAAAAGUUAAACACACCAGCUUUCCCCACGAUUUAGAUUGACCUGGCAGUUUAAUUUUAUUUUAAUAAAGAUAAUUAGUUGAAUCAGAGUAUUAGUGAUCUAAAAAAAAUAUAAUUAAAUCUAAAAGAUUCGAUUUAAAUGAAGUAAUCCCAAAUGGAACUUUUUCAACGUGUCUAAAUUACCCUUUAUAGUAACAACUCCAAAAGCACAGAAAAGGGUAUUCUCGGCAAGAAGAAAAUACGAUCUCUGCCACUACUUGUACAAGACCUAAAUACCCUCGAUCCAUUAUCACCAGUUCACCACCACCAUACCCGAUCUCACCUCUUUUCCACCUUCGCAUGAGGAUCAGAAGGAGACCUCAACUCCAACCAUGUCCCGUAACUCAUCCAUCGUCGUCGACGACGACGACGACGACGACGACGACUCGCCAGGCCCCGCCAAGAGGAGGAGGGGACGAAGAAGAAGACGGGAAGAAGCAAAGGAUCUGCGUUGAAGGAAGAGGAGAUGCAGAUGGGACGGAAGGGGAGGAAUUUGUUAGAUUGCGUCAUUACGAUGAUCUUGCUGUAACAGAGAUUCAAAAUGAGUGCAGUUUUGCCAUAGAUCCACAACCACCAUCAUCUCAUCUCCAUAAAGAAACAAACUUGAUGAUGGCAGCUGGACCGAACCACGAUGAUGGUAUUACAAAUAUCAAGGUACUGACUGAUUAAUUAGCCCAAAUAAAUAUAUAGAAAGAAGAAGAAAAGAAAAGAAAACAUCAUGCAUUGCUUUCAAUUCAGUUCAAAGCUGUCUAGUGUAGCAGUAGUAGUGUCUACUACUUACUGUCUACUACCCUGUGGUGGGGAGAAUCUUGUAUUUAUUCAUUCAUUCAUUCAUUCAUUCAUUCAAUGUGCAUUUCAUGGGAUCAAACUCAAAGUAGAAGACAACAAGGAGCAAGAUGUGGUAGAGAUUUGGUGGUACUAGUCAGAUCAGUUCAGAUCCAUAGCUUAUUUUAUAAGUUAUGCAUUCAUCAUCAUGUGAAGUAUAGAGUUGGAGUGGUGCAAUACUGUAAUAUACUAAUAUGACCGCCCUUCUUUCUCGCUUUGGGCAUGCUUGCCUGCCACUCUAUGUUGGGUUGGUUGCAGGUGCAACAGAAACAGCAGGAGCAAGGAACCCAAGAUAGACUGUUCAUGGUGGAAGGGGCUCAUAAAAACUACAGCCCAGCUUGGUGUAAGAACAUUCAACAGGGUUUUCACAUUGGUAACAAGUAAGUUUUCCUUCUUCCUUUUAUCAUUUAAAUAUGUUUGGAUAUUUGAACAGCACACAACUGAAGCACAACAGGCUAGCAGAACCUACAUUACUACAUAUAUAUAUAGCUCCCCUCUUCUCUCCUCCCCUCCAUUUAAUAAUGGGUAUUUCUCUUUAAUCAGAUGGGAUGAUGAGAAGAACAAGUCUUCAUCAGCGGGGAGGGAAACUGCAACUGCAAGCACUGCAACAUCCGGUCUUAUCAAUGGAGAUCGACAUGAGAGUCAGAAGAGUAGGAAGAGGAGAGGAAAUCCUGCAGUUUUGAUGGAAGGAUCACGGUGUAGCAGAGUCAAUGGGAGAGGGUGGAGAUGUUGCCAACAGACACUGGUUGGGUACUCUCUUUGUGAACACCAUCUUGGUAAAGGUAGAUUGAGGAGCAUGACCAGUGCUAAAUCCAAAGGAAAGAAGAAUAAGCUGGAGAUUAACAGUAGUUCUGGUUGCAGCAGUAGUCAUCCAAGUCAGGUUGUGGCGGUGGUCGACGACGACAAUGACCAGGAGGGGAAGAAUGUUGGGUUGAGGAUGAAGGGGGGAAAAAAGAUGGGAAUGGUCAAGGCAAAGUCUAUCAGUAGUAUACUCUUGGCUCAAAUAACUGAAGAUGAAGUUCUAUCAACUAAUGGAAAUGAGAGUAGAUGUAGUAGUAAUAGUCGUAGUAAUUUAAAGAUUGUUACUACAUAACCAACAUUUUUGUGUUUGUGCUGCUGCACAAGCAGAUUUAAUCAGUGUGUGAUUUUUAAGGGAUUUCCCCCAUCAAUAACAUUGAUGACAGCAACUCUCUCUUUUAGAACCAAUAAGAACACGUGAUUUUAUCUAUCUACAUGCACAAGUUUGCACUGGUAAUACAAUCUUGAUUCCGUUAUAAUAUUGAAAGAAUCUUGGAGGAUUUUAACAUUUCUGAUAAAGACAAAGUGACAAAUACUUGCUCUGUUAUAAUAACCAAUACCCUAGUCUUUAGAAUUGCAAAGAAGAGUUUAUCUGUUUAUGGAAGAACAAUGCACAAGUGCACAACCAUUUUAGGUAGGCAAUUUACAUGUCUUGAUUUCACCUCCAUUAAAAUGAAGAAAGGGAUCAAUCAAGAUUCAAGACAAUGGUCCUUUCUGAGCUUCCUCCCUGUUAUAAAUAGUACAAUUGAAAAAAUGGAGGUUUAUUCAAAUGUCAAUAUUGGGAUUUGGGGAUUUGGGCUCUGAGGAAUCAGUUUCUAUUCUCAGCUCCUCACUUAAAUGAAUGCAAAGAAAGUCAGCAGAAGAUGCCUAAUGAAGCUAUAAAACCAAACAAAUCAAGCUCAGUGGAUGGAUGGUAAUCAAGCUAUUGAAUUUUUUUAUAGAAGAAAUCAUUGUUAGCUUCACUAAUUUGGUGUAAAUUAUUAAAGUUGAUACAUUGAGAAAAAAGCUAAAAAGACAGCAUUCAAGUCUUGCCAUUUCAGGUGGAAACACUCUUUUACAACUCCUGCUUGUCAGUGAGAAUUAUAAUGAGUUUCUAAGAAAGAAGGUGGUCCAGGCAUCCAUUUCCACUGUUAAUGCUAUGGGCUGUAGAAACUUAUCCAGAGUAGCAGAAGGACCUAACUUAGAGUUGACUUGAAUGACAGAAUGACUUUGGAAUAAGUAAUGGAAAUGCACGAUACCAUCGUGUUUCCAGAAGAUCCAGGGGAAAAAUCUAGAACAGCAAUGAUGUUUCAAGAUCUGAUAAGAAAUCUUUUCUAAAAUCUUUGUAAAUCUAAUUACCAACAGAUAUAUGCAGAUUGUGUCGGCUAAUAUUUUGGCAAGCGAAUCCAAAGAUGCAAUCUUUCCUCAAACUUGAACCGAACGAGCUCCUUGUCGAAACGAACCCUCUCCAACGACUCCUUGUUCAGACAGUUACGUACGUCACUGAUGGAAAUGGAAAAACCUCGCAUCCCCGACAGCGCCAUAAAUCUCAGUUGGAUCUUACUAAAUACCAAGUUGAUCAUCAGAUCCCGCUCCGAAAUCUUCCGCCAAUUGGGGUUUAGGGUUUAGGUCAACCGUGGGAAGAGGAAGGCACCAUGUCCGAAAAAUUGAUUUAAGGACUUUUUUCAUUAUUUACCCCAUUUUUUGCCCUAACUCUCCAUUCCCCUUACUGCUGGAGAAUACAUUGCUAUAUGAG